RNAcentral lists this transfer RNA (68 nucleotides) under Dolycoris baccarum (sloe bug). RNAcentral's name for it is "tRNA-Val". The record is from RNAcentral. RNAcentral also lists the same sequence under 2 other names. Lineage: Eukaryota; Metazoa; Arthropoda; Insecta; Hemiptera; Pentatomidae.
CAAAUUAUAAUCUAGGAUUAACUUUUAUUUACAUUAAAAGUUUACUUGUGCGAUUCAAGUUAAUUUGA